AUGCGUCAGGUUCUUCAGUACCGCAGGCUGCCGCUUUGGUUCCAACUGCCACUUCAUCCACGACAUCCCGGGCGGCUCUCAGGCCGUCGCAGAAACGAGCAUCCCGAGUGGCCCAGCUCCAGCUCCAAAAAUAGCAGUACCUCUGGUUGCCCCUUUGGCGAGGGUUGCCAUUUCCUCCAUUACUUUCCCGGUGGCCACCAGGCUGUUGCAAAGAUGAGCAACCUGGGUGGCCAAGCAUUUGCACAUCCCCAAGGAAGAAUGCCUGCAGGAUCUGCAGUUCCAGAUGGCCCCCUUACACCAACUGUCAAGACUAAAUUGUGCAACAAGUACAACACUGCUGAGGGAUGCAAAUGGGGUGACAAGUGCCACUUUGCACAUGGUGAGAGGGAGCUCGGCAAGCACAUGUUCAUCAACAAGUCCAUGCCACCCCAUAUGGGACCAAGGCCCACCGGCCACUUUGGACCUCCGGCAAUGCCCAGCCCUGCCAUGACCAUCCCAGCAGGCUUCGGGGCUUCUUCCACAGCCAAGGUCAGUGUCGAUGCGUCCCUCGCAGGAGGCAUCAUCGGGCGGGGUGGAGUCAACACAAAGCAGAUAUCCCGAGUCACCGGGGCCAAGCUGGCCAUCCGGGACCACGAAUCAAACGAAGCCUUGAAAAACAUUGAGCUCGAGGGCACGUUUGAUCAGAUCAACAACGCCAGCGCCAUGCUCAGGGAGUUGUUCUUCAGGAUCAGCGGUGGCGCCAACGCCCCUCUGCCGAGUGAGAACCUGGCCGGAGGAUCUCACCGCGCCGGCGGCGGUGGGCAGGGAAGCAACUUCAAGACCAAGCUGUGCGACAACUUCACGAAAGGGUCGUGCACAUUUGGCGUCAGAUGCCACUUUGCCCAUGGCGAAAAUGAGCUGCUCAAAUCGGCUGCCGCAUGA
RNAcentral lists this ribosomal RNA (921 nucleotides) under Triticum aestivum (bread wheat). Its description in RNAcentral is "partial small subunit ribosomal RNA". The record is from RNAcentral. Lineage: Eukaryota; Viridiplantae; Streptophyta; Magnoliopsida; Poales; Poaceae.